CUUGUCUUUCUCUUUUUCUCUGAGUAUAAAAAUAUAGUCAUCCCCGAUUAAUAAUCAUCCUUUUCCUUUUCUGAACUCAAAAAUUCCUUUUCGAAAUGUCUGGCUACCCCAACCAGCCUCCCAACUACGGCUACGGCUACGGCGCUCCGCCGCCCUCGCAACCCUACGGCGCUCAUCCGCCGCCCCAAUCCUACGGCGCCCCGCCGCCCGGCCAGUCCUACUCCGCCGCCCCCUACUCCCAGCCGUCCGCCCCCUACGCCCAGCCCUCCGGCCCCUACGCCGCCCCCUACAGCAAACCCCCCAAGGAAGACUCCCACUCCCACGGUGGCGGAAGCGGCGGCGGUUACCCGUCACCGGCGCCGUACGCGAGCCCCUUCGCGUCGCUGGUGCCGUCGGCGUUCCCGCCCGGCACGGACCCGAACGUGGUGGCGUGCUUCCAGCUGGCGGAUCAAGACGGAAGCGGCUUCAUCGACGACAAGGAAAUGCAGAGAGCGUUAUCUUCGUAUAACCAAAGCUUCAGCCUCAGAACCGUUCAUCUUCUCAUGUAUCACUUCACCAACACCAACGUCAAGAAGAUAGGACCCAAGGAGUUCACAUCUCUAUUUUACAGUCUUCAGAACUGGAGGUCCAUUUUUGAGAGAUUUGAUAAGGACAGAAGUGGCAAAAUUGAUUCUACUGAGUUGCGAGAUGCUCUGCUGAAUAUGGGUUAUGCUGUUUCUCCUGUGGUAUUGGAUUUGCUCGUCUCCAAGUUUGACAAAACUGGUGGAAAAAGCAAGGCUAUAGAAUAUGACAAUUUCAUCGAGUGUUCUCUUACUGUUAAGGGUCUAACUGACAAAUUCAAGGAGAAGGAUACUGCAUACUCUGGCUCUGCAACCUUUUCCUAUGAAUCGUUUAUGCUGACAGUCCUGCCAUUCCUAAUAGCUUAGGAAAGUAAUGUUGUGUGUGUGGUUGGUUGGCUUUGUAAAUGCCGUGCUCUAUUUGUUUGUUGAUGCUCUUUGGUGCUGUGUGUGUAUGUGAAUGAAGCUGAAGCGUUGAAAAUGCGAUUCCCUGGUACUGCUAAAUGCUAAUGAAUGACUGAAUAACGACUAGGGCAUCUUAUUUGGAAGAUAUAUCUAGGUUAAGAAUACUUGUCAUUGAUAAUUUAUGAAUACUCGCCUUUGUUAAUUUUUUUUCUCCUAAUAUUAACUUUUAAAUUCAUUA
Cajanus cajan (pigeon pea) is the source of this 1200-nucleotide non-coding RNA. NCBI's taxonomy places the organism in Eukaryota, Viridiplantae, Streptophyta, Magnoliopsida, Fabales, Fabaceae. The record is from RefSeq and is a predicted model, not a curated record.